This is a long non-coding RNA of Coccinella septempunctata (seven-spotted ladybird), 716 nucleotides long. RefSeq lists it as uncharacterized. Lineage: Eukaryota; Metazoa; Arthropoda; Insecta; Coleoptera; Coccinellidae. The record is from RefSeq and is a predicted model, not a curated record. The transcript is spliced from 2 exons.
UGCGUUUUUCUCUGUCACUUUUUUUUUACGAUAUUUCAUGCAUAGAUAGAAAGGGAAGGCACAGUCCAUGUCUAUACGUCUAUGUGAGAAUAUAAAUAAUGGUUUUGAGGUUAAGUUGGUUUAAUUUUAGUUGGGACAGUGAAAAUACCAUUUUUCGAGAUAUAAAUUAAACGAAUUAACGAUUGGAUUUAGUUAUUUAAGCGCUGAACAGAAAAUAUAUUAAAAUUAGACUGAUAUAAUACGAAUAUUGUCAAUUUUUAUAAGAACUUUAAAAAAUCAUAUCUCCUAAAUUACAAAAGUUUCCCGAAGUUGAGACAUGUACCAAUCGAUUUUUCAUACAAUACUUUAUCUAAGAAAAAAUCGAUGUUAAAAUUAGAGCGUCUACUGGGACUGUACGGGCGUGAGAGGUGAGAGCAUUGCAUCGACGGCAAAAUAGAAAAUACGCUCGCCUGGCAAUCCGUUGACGGAUUCCGUUGCUGCUCGAUGCGUUUCUACUGGACGUAGUUACAAAUGUUAGCAGGCAAGCAGGUGGAUUUAUCCGUUGCGAUGCAAUCCGAGAUCCGACUCGGCUCUCUUAAUGGACACUCAACAUCGUGUUAUAAAUUAACUUAAUAGUUUAAAUUAAUCUUAGCAUAUUAUCCGACGAUCGAACUUAUUUCAUAGCUUUUUCAUUGUUCUGUAUGAAUGGAAUUAAAUAAAUACAUUUUUUAAUUUGA